Vicugna pacos (alpaca) is the source of this 739-nucleotide non-coding RNA. The record is from RefSeq and is a predicted model, not a curated record. NCBI's taxonomy places the organism in Eukaryota, Metazoa, Chordata, Mammalia, Artiodactyla, Camelidae.
AUGUCAGCCUGGACAGUCUUCGCGGAGAGUCGCCGCGGCUUCCUGCUUCAGCGGUGUCGUUGGGUGCGCCAGCACCGCCACCAGGCCUCGGAGGCUGCCAUCAAGUGCCAGAUCAACCUGGAGCUGUGCGCCUCCUACGUCUACCUGCCCAUGUCACACUACUUUGACCGUGAUGAUGUGGCUUUGAAGAACUUUGCCAAGUACUUUCUUCACCAAUCUCACGAGGAGGGGAAACUGAUGAAGCUGCAAAACCAACGAGGUGGCCGAAUCUUCCUUCAGGAUAUCAAGAAAGCAGACUAUGACGACCGGGAGAAUGGGCUGAAUGCAAUGGAAUGUGCGCUACGCUUGGAAAAAACUGUGAAUCAGUCCCUACUGGAAUUGCACAAACUGGCCACUGACAAAAAUGACCCCCACUCGUGUGACUUCCUUGAGACUCAUUACCUGAACGAGCAGGUGAAAUCCAUCAAAGAACUGGGUGACCCUGUAACCAACUUGCGCAAGAUGGGGGCCCCCGAAUCUGGCAUGGCGGAGUAUCUCCUUGACAAGCUCACCCUGGGAAACAGUGAUUAUGAGAGCUAAGCCUUAGGCUGGCUUCCUGGAGCCUCAGGGGUGACCUCCCUGGUCACCAAGGCAGUGCAUGCAUGUUUAGGUUACCUUUACCUUUUCUAUAAGUUGUACCAAACAUCUACUUAAUGUUCUUUCCUUAGUACCAUUCCUUCAAACAAAGUAAUUUGGUACC